RNAcentral lists this ribosomal RNA (253 nucleotides) under uncultured bacterium. RNAcentral describes it as "partial 16S ribosomal RNA". The record is from RNAcentral.
CUGCUGCCUCCCGUAGGAGUCUGGUCCGUGUCUCAGUACCAGUGUGGGGGACCUUCCUCUCAGAACCCCUACGCAUCGUCGUCUUGGUGGUCCGUUACACCGCCAACUAACUAAUGCGACGCAUGCCCAUCCGCCACCGGAAUCAACCUUUGGCACCAACAGGAUGUCCCGUCGAUGCAUUAUGCCGUAUUAGACGGAAUUUCUCCCGAUUAUCCGGCUGUGGCAGGCAGGUUGCAUACGUGUUACUCACCCG